RNAcentral lists this ribosomal RNA (448 nucleotides) under uncultured bacterium. RNAcentral's name for it is "bacterial SSU rRNA". It matches the Rfam family "Bacterial small subunit ribosomal RNA", at positions 29 to 506 of the family's 1533-position model. The record is from RNAcentral.
ACGAACGCUGGCGGCAGGCCUAACACAUGCAAGUCGAGCGCGUGUAGCAAUACACGAGCGGCGUACGGGUGAGUACAACGUGGGAACCUGCCCUUCGGUACGGAACAACCCAGGGAAACUUGGGCUAAUACCGUAUGCGUUCCCCGGGUGUGGUGCUCGGGGAAGAAAGAUUUAUCGCCGAAGGAGGGGCCCACGCCGGAUUAGGUAGUUGGUGGGGUAAAGGCCUACCAAGCCUACGAUCCGUAGCUGGUCUGAGAGGAUGAUCAGCCACACUGGGACUGAGACACGGCCCAGACUCCUACGGGAGGCAGCAGUGGGGAAUAUUGGACAAUGGGGGCAACCCUGAUCCAGCCAUGCCGCGUGAGUGAUGAAGGCCUUCGGGUUGUAAAGCUCUUUCGCCGGGGAAGAUAAUGACGGUACCCGGAGAAGAAGCCUCGGCUAACUCCGU